UGUUCCUGUUCUUUCAGUUAAUUGAUUUGUAUGAGGAUUUUGCAUUGAGAAAUAUCCAAACCAGGCAAAUUUCUAGAAUUCAUGUUGGAUCAAGGCUCAGACAAAUCUACAAGGAAAGCCAGAUUAUUAUCACGAAAAGAUGAAAGUCAAACACAGGGAGCAAGUUAAAGUAUACCCACUGAUGCUGCCAACAAGCCAUUCACCUCUGCUGGACCCUGUCCCUGACACUGGACUUGGCACUUCUCUCUAGUUCCAGGCUUAUGUUGGAAACCUUAGCCAGCGUGCAAGUGACAUUCUUUUCUCUGAACUCACAGUCUUAGACCACUUCAGCUCAAAAGUCACCUCCAUUAGAUGGCUGCUGUAAGAAACUUAAAAGGACUAUCAAUCCAGGAAGAUCAACUGCAUCAAAAAACAAGUCACUCAAACAGAAAUCUGGACUGAGUAACCAUCACAAUAUCACUUUUACAAAGGCCAUGGGAGAAGCAAAAGUAUCCCCUAUUGAAACUUACGAGAAUAUAGCUGAUCAAUAUUUUAUUAAGUCUGCCAGGACAAACAUAUAAAUAAUGUUUUCAAGAACUGGAUUAUAGUAAUGAAUUUUCUUGGCCAUGUUCAUUUUUUAAAAUGCAUCAACAUAAUAAGAAAAGGGACUCGGGGACUACCCUGGGGGGUCCAGGGGCUGAGUCUCCAGGA
Non-coding RNA from Odocoileus virginianus texanus, 690 nucleotides. NCBI's taxonomy places the organism in Eukaryota, Metazoa, Chordata, Mammalia, Artiodactyla, Cervidae. The record is from RefSeq and is a predicted model, not a curated record.